RNAcentral lists this ribosomal RNA (253 nucleotides) under uncultured bacterium. RNAcentral's name for it is "partial 16S ribosomal RNA". It matches the Rfam family "Bacterial small subunit ribosomal RNA", at positions 524 to 776 of the family's 1533-position model. The record is from RNAcentral.
UACGUAGGGUGCAAGCGUUGUCCGGAAUUAUUGGGCGUAAAGAGCUCGUAGGCGGUUUGUUGCGUCGGCUGUGAAAUCCCGAGGCUCAACCUCGGGUCUGCAGUCGAUACGAGCAAACUAGAGUGUUGCAGGGGAGACUGGAAUUCCUGGUGUAGCGGUGAAAUGCGCAGAUAUCAGGAGGAACACCGGUGGCGAAGGCGGGUCUCUGGGCCGAUACUGACGCUGAGGCGCGACAGCGUGGGGAGCAAACAGG